This 429-nucleotide ribosomal RNA is filed under the name Chloroflexota bacterium. RNAcentral's name for it is "Chloroflexi bacterium partial 16S ribosomal RNA". It matches the Rfam family "Bacterial small subunit ribosomal RNA", at positions 355 to 776 of the family's 1533-position model. The record is from RNAcentral. RNAcentral also lists the same sequence under 1 other name. Lineage: Bacteria; Bacillati; Chloroflexota.
UAGGGAAUCUUCGGCAAUGGACGAAAGUCUGACCGAGCAACGCCGCGUGAGUGAAGAAGGUUUUCGGAUCGUAAAACUCUGUUGUUAGAGAAGAACAAGGACGUUAGUAACUGAACGUCCCCUGACGGUAUCUAACCAGAAAGCCACGGCUAACUACGUGCCAGCAGCCGCGGUAAUACGUAGGUGGCAAGCGUUGUCCGGAUUUAUUGGGCGUAAAGCGAGCGCAGGCGGUUUCUUAAGUCUGAUGUGAAAGCCCCCGGCUCAACCGGGGAGGGUCAUUGGAAACUGGGAGACUUGAGUGCAGAAGAGGAGAGUGGAAUUCCAUGUGUAGCGGUGAAAUGCGUAGCUAUAUGGAGGAACACCAGUGGCGAAGGCGGCUCUCUGGUCUGUAACUGACGCUGAGGCUCGAAAGCGUGGGGAGCAAACAGG